UCGGGAAUUUUGGGCAAUGGGCGAAAGCCUGACCCAGCAACGCCGCGUGAGGGAUGAAGUAUUUCGGUAUGUAAACCUCGAAAGAAUGGGAAGAAUAAAUGACGGUACCAUUUAUAAGCUCCGGCUAACUACGUGCCAGCAGCCGCGGUAAUACGUAGGGAGCAAGCGUUGUUCGGAUUUACUGGGCGUAAAGGGCGCGUAGGCGGCGCGGUAAGUCACUUGUGAAAUCUCUGAGCUUAACUCAGAACGGCCAAGUGAUACUGCUGUGCUAGAGUGCGGAAGAGGCAACCGGAAUUCUUGGUGUAGCGGUGAAAUGCGUAGAUAUCAAGAGGAACACCUGAGGCGAAGGCGGGUUGCUGUGCCGACACUGACGCUGAUGCGCGAAAGCCAGGGGAGCAAACG
RNAcentral lists this ribosomal RNA (402 nucleotides) under uncultured bacterium. RNAcentral describes it as "bacterial SSU rRNA". It matches the Rfam family "Bacterial small subunit ribosomal RNA", at positions 355 to 774 of the family's 1533-position model. The record is from RNAcentral.